UCCCGUUUAGCUCAGUUGGUAGAGCGCGUCACUAGUAAGCUUCCUCGAUGACGAGGUCAGUCGUUCGAGUCGGCUAAUGGGAA
Molecule: non-coding RNA, 83 nt
Organism: Polyporus arcularius HHB13444
Lineage: Eukaryota; Fungi; Basidiomycota; Agaricomycetes; Polyporales; Polyporaceae
Source: the annotation of a GenBank genome assembly